GUUUUUUAAAUAUGUAGCUUUUCAUAGUCUACAAAUGUACUCCAGGCAAGUUAGCGACAUAAAAAGUUAGCACUGUUUCAGAAAAAAACUUCUCUGAGAGAAGUAGAAGUAUCAUCUGGAUCUAAGUUUACAAACUCUUCUGAACACAUCAUACGAAAGGAAAAGGCAUCAUGGAUAGCUCCACAACAAAAUCCAUUGGGAUAGCUGUUGCAUUUGGGAUCUUAGGAUUGUUCGUGCUAAUCUGUGUGGUGCAAAUCUGCUGCAAGAAAAAGUGCUGCAAGCGUAAAAAGCCUUCAGUGAAAGAUAAAAUUUUACAAAAAGUUGGGAUAAAGAAAUCCACGCCUCCAUUUUCAGUCAGCAGGAUCGUCGACAAGAAAUAACUGUCAUCACCGCACAUAUUAUUCUCUCGAUGCCUGUAAAUAGUGUAUAUACAGCCUAGAUUCACAACACUUAUUUACAUAUUAUGAUGUGAAAGUAUGUGUCGGUGUAUUUAUUUUCUUCAUUUCUUUGAAAAGUCUGAAUCACGUUUCUGAGGUGACUGUUAUUAGCGCUGGGGAUGUUGAUGAUUCAUCGCUGGUUAAGAUAACGGUCCCACAGAUACGGAAAAGCACAGCACACUUUCAUUGCUAUCGAGAUCGUUUAUCUUGUCUUUUAUUCUCAACGCCUGACUCAGAUUCUGUCUUGUUUUUCAAUCUCACCACUAAAAACACAGGACAGCUUUUCCUCUCAAGCUGAAUCGUUUCCACAUAAAUGUGAGUUCAAAGGCCACCCCUUAGACUGAUGAAAAAACUGUUGCUUCAGUUCCAGUACAUGGAUCAUGUACGUGUAUUUCUUAAUCGUGGAGGAAAUGAUGUCGGAUGAUUUAAUUCCUGUUAAGUAAUAUUAUGUGUGCAAUGUAAUGUUGAUAAGGACUCAUAUAUACCAAGUAUGUGGUUUAUAAAAAGGUGUGCUGUAAUAUUGAAAAAUGACUCUGUGAUGAGAAAAAAUAAAUAAAAUGUUU
Molecule: long non-coding RNA, 1000 nt
Organism: Danio aesculapii
Lineage: Eukaryota; Metazoa; Chordata; Actinopteri; Cypriniformes; Danionidae
Exons: 4
Source: RefSeq, a predicted model, not a curated record